AUUGAACGCUGGCGGCAUGCUUUACACAUGCAAGUCGAACGGUAACAGCACUUCGGUGGCUGACGAGUGGCGAACGGGUGAGUAAUACAUCGGAACGUGCCUAGUAGUGGGGGAUAACUACUCGAAAGAGUAGCUAAUACCGCAUGAGAUCUAAGGAUGAAAGCAGGGGACCUUCGGGCCUUGCGCUACUAGAGCGGCUGAUGGCAGAUUAGGUAGUUGGUGGGAUAAAAGCUUACCAAGCCGACGAUCUGUAGCUGGUCUGAGAGGACGACCAGCCACACUGGGACUGAGACACGGCCCAGACUCCUACGGGAGGCAGCAGUGGGGAAUUUUGGACAAUGGGCGCAAGCCUGAUCCAGCAAUGCCGCGUGCAGGAUGAAGGCCUUCGGGUUGUAAAAUGCUUUUGUACGGAACGAAAAGCCCUCUUCUAAUACAGGAGGGUCAUGACGGUACCGUAAGAAUAAGCACCGGCUAACUACGUG
RNAcentral lists this ribosomal RNA (482 nucleotides) under uncultured bacterium. Its description in RNAcentral is "partial 16S ribosomal RNA". It matches the Rfam family "Bacterial small subunit ribosomal RNA", at positions 30 to 507 of the family's 1533-position model. The record is from RNAcentral.